AUUGAACGCUGGCGGCAUGCCUUACACAUGCAAGUCGAACGGCAGCGGGGACUUCGGUCCGCCGGCGAGUGGCGAACGGGUGAGUAAUAUAUCGGAACGUACCUUUCAGUGGGGGAUAACGUAGCGAAAGUUACGCUAAUACCGCAUAUUCUGUGAGCAGGAAAGCAGGGGAUCGCAAGACCUUGCGCUGAUUGAGCGGCCGAUAUCAGAUUAGCUAGUUGGUGAGGUAAAGGCUCACCAAGGCGACGAUCUGUAGCGGGUCUGAGAGGAUGAUCCGCCACGCUGGAACUGAGACACGGUCCAGACUCCUACGGGAGGCAGCAGUGGGGAAUUUUGGACAAUGGGGGCAACCCUGAUCCAGCCAUGCCGCGUGAGUGAAGAAGGCCUUCGGGUUGUAAAGCUCUUUCGGCCGGGAAGAAAUCGCAUUGGUUAAUACCCAGUGUGGAUGACGGUACCGGAAUAAGAAGCACCGGCUAACUACGUGCCAGCAGCCGCGGUAAUACGUAGGGUGCGAGCGUUAAUCGGAAUUACUGGGCGUAAAGCGUGCGCAGGCGGUUUUGUAAGACAGGCGUGAAAUCCCCGGGCUCAACCUGGGAACUGCAUUUGAGACUGCAAAGCUAGAGUGUGGCAGAGGGGGGUGGAAUUCCACGUGUAGCAGUGAAAUGCGUAGAGACGUGGAGGAACACCGAUGGCGAAGGCAGCCCCCUGGGCCAAUACUGACGCUCAUGCACGAAAGCGUGGGGAGCAAACAGGAUUAGAUACCCUGGUAGUCCACGCCCUAAACGAUGUCAACUAGGUGUUGGAAGGGUUAAACCUUUUAGUGCCGUAGCUAACGCGUGAAGUUGACCGCCUGGGGAGUACGGCCGCAAGGCUAAAACUCAAAGGAAUUGACGGGGACCCGCACAAGCGGUGGAUGAUGUGGAUUAAUUCGAUGCAACGCGAAAAACCUUACCUACCCUUGACAUGUCAGGAAUCCCGGAGAGAUUUGGGAGUGCUCGAAAGAGAGCCUGAACGCAGGUGCUGCAUGGCUGUCGUCAGCUCGUGUCGUGAGAUG
This 1054-nucleotide ribosomal RNA is filed under the name uncultured bacterium. RNAcentral describes it as "bacterial SSU rRNA". It matches the Rfam family "Bacterial small subunit ribosomal RNA", at positions 28 to 1074 of the family's 1533-position model. The record is from RNAcentral.